RNAcentral lists this ribosomal RNA (455 nucleotides) under Dendrelaphis biloreatus (Gore's bronzeback). RNAcentral describes it as "partial large subunit ribosomal RNA". It matches the Rfam family "Bacterial large subunit ribosomal RNA", at positions 1841 to 2565 of the family's 2925-position model. The record is from RNAcentral. Lineage: Eukaryota; Metazoa; Chordata; Lepidosauria; Squamata; Colubridae.
AAAUAUUAAAGGCAACGCCUGCCCAGUGAACAAUUAAACGGCCGCGGUACCCUAACCGUGCAAAGGUAGCAUAAUCAUUUGUCUACUAAUUAUAGACCUGUAUGAAAGGCAAAAUGAGGGCCUAACUGUCUCUUAUAGUAAAUCAAUUAAACUGAUCUACUAGUAAAAAAGCUAGAAUUUCAACAUAAGACCAGAAGACCCUGUGAAGCUUAAACUAAACUAUUAAAGCCAAUAAUAAUUACUUUCGGUUGGGGCGACCUUGGAAAAAAAAAGAACUUCCAAUAUAGUGAUAAUCACACACAUAGGCCCACAAGCCAACAUAAGACCCAGCAAAGCUGAUAAUUGAAACAAGUUACUCCAGGGAUAACAGCGCAAUCUUCUUCAAGAGCCCAUAUCAAAAAGAAGGUUUACGACCUCGAUGUUGGAUCAGGACAUCCUAAUGGUGUAGCAGCUAU